Molecule: ribosomal RNA, 465 nt
Filed under: Escherichia coli
Lineage: Bacteria; Pseudomonadati; Pseudomonadota; Gammaproteobacteria; Enterobacterales; Enterobacteriaceae
Description: bacterial SSU rRNA
Rfam family: Bacterial small subunit ribosomal RNA
Source: RNAcentral
CCUACGGGAGGCAGCAGUAGGGAAUCUUCCACAAUGGACGAAAGUCUGAUGGAGCAACGCCGCGUGAGUGAAGAAGGGUUUCGGCUCGUAAAACUCUGUUGUUAAAGAAGAACAUAUCUGAGAGUAACUGUUCAGGUAUUGACGGUAUUUAACCAGAAAGCCACGGCUAACUACGUGCCAGCAGCCGCGGUAAUACGUAGGUGGCAAGCGUUGUCCGGAUUUAUUGGGCGUAAAGCGAGCGCAGGCGGUUUUUUAAGUCUGAUGUGAAAGCCUUCGGCUUAACCGGAGAAGUGCAUCGGAAACUGGGAGACUUGAGUGCAGAAGAGGACAGUGGAACUCCAUGUGUAGCGGUGAAAUGCGUAGAUAUAUGGAAGAACACCAGUGGCGAAGGCGGCUGUCUGGUCUGUAACUGACGCUGAGGCUCGAAAGCAUGGGUAGCGAACAGGAUUAGAUACCCCUGUAGUC